GUUUGUGAGCAGCCCCCGGUCCCCUGCCGCUCCGUGAGAAAUCAAACUUCAGGCACUGACGAAGCAUGAAGCCAGCAUCUUAGGAAAAGGUAGUGACAUAAUUACAAGGGCAACCGGAUUACAAUCACAGCCAGCAUGAACAUGGGGCGGCGCACAGUCCUGAAGUGGAAAGCCGGGCUGUGUUGACCUCGCUGUGCAUGCUGGGAGUUGUAGUCUCUUCACUGCUCCCGCCCGUUGUUUCAGGCACUUCGGGACUACAAUCCCAGCAUGACCCGGGCUCGGGGACGGGGCGCAGUUCUCGUGGGAGGAGCGGGGCGGUGAGAGCCUGGCUAGGCAGGCUGGAAACAGUAGCUCUUAACGGUCCCCCGCCCGUUGGUGGCAAGGCGGCUGGACUGGAAUCCCAGCAGGCGACAUGCGAGGAGGCGGGCAGCCCAGGAGGAGGGUUGGACACGGCAAUGUGGACCUCGCCGCUUCCACAACGAUGCUGGCUACUGAUCGCGUGCACUUCCUUGCCAAGGAAAAUUCGUGCUGUGCACUAA
RNAcentral lists this long non-coding RNA (539 nucleotides) under Pan troglodytes (chimpanzee). RNAcentral describes it as "lncRNA (ENSPTRG00000053155.1)". Lineage: Eukaryota; Metazoa; Chordata; Mammalia; Primates; Hominidae. The record is from RNAcentral.